GACGAACGCUGGCGGCGUGCUUAACACAUGCAAGUCGAACGGAAAGGCCCUGCUUUUGUGGGGUGCUCGAGUGGCGAACGGGUGAGUAACACGUGAGUAACCUGCCCUUGACUUUGGGAUAACUUCAGGAAACUGGGGCUAAUACCGGAUAGGAGCUCCUGCUGCUUGGUGGGGGUUGGAAAGUUUCGGCGGUUGGGGAUGGACUCGCGGCUUAUCAGCUUGUUGGUGGGGUAGUGGCUUAUCAAGGCUUUGACGGGUAGCCGGCCUGAGAGGGUGACCGGCCAGAUUGGGACUGAGAUACGGCCCAUACUCCUACGGGAGGCAGCAGUGGGGAAUAUUGCCCAAGGGGCGGAAGCCUGAUGCGGCAACGCCGCGGGCGGGAUGACGGCCUUCGGGUUGUAAACCGCUUUCGCCUGUGACGAGGCGUGAGUGACGGUAAUGGGUAAAGAAGCACCGGCUAACUACGUGCAAGCAGCCGCCGUAA
Molecule: ribosomal RNA, 484 nt
Filed under: uncultured bacterium
Lineage: Bacteria
Description: partial 16S ribosomal RNA
Rfam family: Bacterial small subunit ribosomal RNA
Source: RNAcentral